GACGAACCGUGCGAACGUUGUUCGGAAUCACUGGGCUUAAAGGGCGCGUAGGCGGGUCAUCAAGUCCGGGGUGAAAGCCCCCAGCUUAACUGGGGAAGGGCCUUGGAUACUGAUGGUCUCGAGGGGGGUAGGGGCAGUGGGAACUUCCGGUGGAGCGGUGAAAUGCGUUGAUAUCGGAAGGAACGCCGGUGGCGAAAGCGCACUGCUGGACCUUUUCUGACGCUGAGGCGCGAAAGCCAGGGGAGCAAACGGG
This 253-nucleotide ribosomal RNA is filed under the name uncultured bacterium. RNAcentral's name for it is "partial 16S ribosomal RNA". It matches the Rfam family "Bacterial small subunit ribosomal RNA", at positions 524 to 776 of the family's 1533-position model. The record is from RNAcentral.